RNAcentral lists this ribosomal RNA (253 nucleotides) under uncultured bacterium. RNAcentral's name for it is "partial 16S ribosomal RNA". It matches the Rfam family "Bacterial small subunit ribosomal RNA", at positions 524 to 776 of the family's 1533-position model. The record is from RNAcentral.
UACGUAGGGUGCAAGCGUUAAUCGGAAUUACUGGGCGUAAAGCGUGCGCAGGCGGUUGUGCAAGUCAGAUGUGAAAUCCCCGGGCUCAACCUGGGAAUUGCAUUUGUGACUGCACGGCUAGAGUGUGUCAGAGGGGGGUAGAAUUCCACGUGUAGCAGUGAAAUGCGUAGAGAUGUGGAGGAAUACCGAUGGCGAAGGCAGGUCUCUGGGCUGAUACUGACGCUCAUGCACGAAAGCGUGGGGAGCAAACAGG